Molecule: long non-coding RNA, 2236 nt
Filed under: Homo sapiens (human)
Lineage: Eukaryota; Metazoa; Chordata; Mammalia; Primates; Hominidae
Description: HSALNT0338152
Source: RNAcentral
CUAAACUCAGACCUCUGACUCCUGGGUCCAUACCUCUCAACCCCGAGAACAGCCAUGAACAAAGAAAUGCAAUUUUUUUCAAAUUGCUGAAAUAUGCGUUCUUGAUUUAAGCAGGCUCAAGAGAUCAUUCUUAAAACACUUGUACUUAGGUAAAUAUACAGUGCAGGAAAUAUGCAAGACUUUCAGAAUUUAAAAAAACUUGUCACUGUUCUUUCAAUAAACAAGACUUUAUUCCUUUCUUAAGUGAGCUACUUUCAUCAUAUUUUUGCCAAUUGAAUAUUGUCCCACACUUGCUCUGCAUAAGCACUUUCUGAAACUGGUAUAAAAAAGUUGGUAUCUUACCAGUCUGGUUUUUAUUUCCCUCUACACACCACUUUGGCAGUUUAUAUUGCUUAGAACCCAUUGCUUGGGGGUGGAGGGUGGUGGGGGGGCUAGGAAAUGUGUAAGCUUUUGAUUACAAGAGUUAUGCAUCUUGAUCUUAAAAUUAUGUUUGCUUUGCAAAGAAGAGAAGGUUCUGGAAUAGAGUGUCUCCUUGGCAGUUUAUAUGUCUUUAUCUUGGCUCAGACUUAGGCCAGACAACAAGCAAGCUGCCCACUGCUAAGACUGCAUCUAUUCUGUGAAAGCCUGUGGGGCAUUUCAGGAAGGCAAGGGUCCUGGUUGUGUGCAUGGAGGUGAAAUCUGGCUUUUCAUGAGCCUGAUUCCUUCCAUUUCUUUCAGGAAAAAGAGGAGCAAAGCCAUCAAAUUUCCAGAUCUGGCUUGCAAAAUUUCUGGAAAGACAUGCUGCUACCAAGGUUUUGGGUGAGCAUGUGGUCAUUUCUGCCUUGCCAACUUCACUUUCCCCAUUAGGACGGAAGUGGUUGUCAGCCUUCUAUGCGAGUUGGACAGCACAGUCUGCACGUGCUCUUGCUCUGUCUCUGUGGAGUGCACCUGGGCAGCAGAGAUACCCCAGCCUCUGGCACUGCACUUGCCUUACAAGUUGAAGGUAGAGACAAGACACACAUUCAUUUCUUUUAAAAACAUCAUGCUAAGUCCAGAGGUUGGCACCCUUCCCUGGAGAGGCCUGAACGCCCUGCCCUCCCACUGCCAAGUCUUUCUUUUCUCUUUCCUGUGGCCCUUCUUGAUCCAGGUCUGCUCUAACUGGAAAGCCAGGUCCCCAGAGAUGAGCCCUGUGGUGCUGAGGAGGUGGGAGUCAAGGGAAAUGCCCCCCAUCUCCAAAGCCAGGGGCCUCUCCACACACGCUGGGUAAUUUUGGGACAGCAGGGAUGAUGUCUGUCUCACAAGACAUUGCCACUUUAAAGUAUUCAAGAUCCUGUAUUUUCUACAACCUUAGUGAGGCAUGAGCAUAUGAAGCCAGUGAAAAAACAGUUCAUUCAUUCAUUUAUUCAUUCAUCCAUUCAAAAGACUUUCACAGGUGGCAAGAUGGCUGAAUAGGAACAGCUCUGGUCUGCAGCUCCCGGCGAGGUGGAUGCAGAAGAAAGAUGGAGAAGCAAUGAAGAGACAUUCACGUGGAUACCCACAUAUGCAGGGAAAGUGCCCACACAUGUUUGGACUGGAGACAAACUACAAGAGUUGAUGUCCUUGAGGAGGGAGACUGGGACUAUCCAAAGAUGGCAUGAGUCCCCCACACAUGCUCUUUCAAAACUUUGCCCCACCUUCAUCAGGAAAUGGCAUCUAAUUCCCUUUCCCUUGAAUCCAGGAAGGGCUUGUGACUCUCCUGGAACUGACAGAAUACAGCAGAAAUGAGGCAGUGUGACUUCUGAGGCUAGGUCCUGAAAGGCAAUGCAGCUUCUGCCUUGUGAGCUAUUAUAGAACACACCUGUGGGGCUCUGAACCACUUUGUAAGACGUCUGCAGCCACCAUGCUAGGAGGAAGCCCAAGCUACACAGAGGUAUCAUGUGCAGUUGUUGCAGCUAACUGAGGGCCCAACUGACAGCACUACUCUCUGCCAAAUCAGUAAAUUAAGACACCCUGACGGCUCCUGCCCUGGCCAUUGGGUCAUCCCAACCUCUAAGCCUUCCUAUCUGAAGCUGCACUUUGUGGAGCAGAAAGAAACACUCCUUCUUGUGCCUGUUCGGCAUUCAUGACUCUCAUAAUCUGUGAGUAAAAAAAAAUGGUUGUUUUAAAUCACUACGUUUUGAGAUAAUUUGUCGCACAACAAUAGUAAGUAGAAUUUCAACUUGAUGUAUAAUGGCUUAUUUCUCUGCAAAAAAAUCUAAAUAAAAUACAACAAAAUGCU